RNAcentral lists this long non-coding RNA (215 nucleotides) under Hordeum vulgare. RNAcentral's name for it is "long non-coding RNA (HVUL_LNC008389)". The record is from RNAcentral. Lineage: Eukaryota; Viridiplantae; Streptophyta; Magnoliopsida; Poales; Poaceae.
UGUCUUUUUUUGUCAUCUAAAAUAAUAAUGGUAACAUAUUAAUACAAACAAAAAAAUAUUCUAGCUCAAAAAAUUGUAUGUGAAUAAUGAAUGGAUGCUAUGGAACUAUAUUUGUUAUGGAGCUAUGUAUGUAUGGAUGCUAUGGAACUAUAUGUAUAUAUGGAUGCUAUGGAAUUUUGGAUGUAUGGAUGCUAUGGAGUUUUGAUAUAUGGAUC